UAGGGAAUAUUGCGCAAUGGGGGAAACCCUGACGCAGCGACGCCGCGUGAGUGAUGAAGGCCUUCGGGUCGUAAAGCUCUGUCGUAUGGGACUAACAAAAUGAAGGUACCAUGCAAGAAAGGAUCGGCUAACUUCGUGCCAGCAGCCGCGGUAAGACGAGGGAUCCUAGCGUUGUUCGGAAUCAUUGGGCGUAAAGCGGGUGUAGGCGGGCUUAUAAGUCAGGUGUGAAAUCCCAGGGCUCAACCCUGGAAGUGCACUUGAUACUGUAAGUCUUGAAUGUGGUAGAGGUUACUAGAAUUUCUGGUGUAGUGGUGAAAUACGUAGAUAUCAGAAGGAAUACCGGUGGCGAAGGCGGGUAACUGGACCAACAUUGACGCUGAGAUCCGAAAGCGUGGGGAUCAAACAGG
RNAcentral lists this ribosomal RNA (407 nucleotides) under uncultured Bdellovibrio sp. RNAcentral's name for it is "bacterial SSU rRNA". It matches the Rfam family "Bacterial small subunit ribosomal RNA", at positions 355 to 776 of the family's 1533-position model. The record is from RNAcentral. Lineage: Bacteria; Pseudomonadati; Bdellovibrionota; Bdellovibrionia; Bdellovibrionales; Pseudobdellovibrionaceae.